Molecule: small RNA, 29 nt
Filed under: Bombyx mori (domestic silkworm)
Lineage: Eukaryota; Metazoa; Arthropoda; Insecta; Lepidoptera; Bombycidae
Description: ovarian small RNA-24918
Source: RNAcentral
UCAAUUCGAAGUACCUAUUACUAAUAAAA